UUACCAGAUGGUGAAAGGCAAACAUAAG
Molecule: non-coding RNA, 28 nt
Filed under: Mus musculus (house mouse)
Lineage: Eukaryota; Metazoa; Chordata; Mammalia; Rodentia; Muridae
Source: RNAcentral